This 69-nucleotide transfer RNA is filed under the name Marmota monax (woodchuck). It matches the Rfam family "tRNA". From Rfam's summary of the family: Transfer RNA (tRNA) molecules are approximately 80 nucleotides in length. Their secondary structure includes four short double-helical elements and three loops (D, anti-codon, and T loops). Further hydrogen bonds mediate the characteristic L-shaped molecular structure. tRNAs have two regions of fundamental functional importance: the anti-codon, which is responsible for specific mRNA codon recognition, and the 3' end, to which the tRNAs corresponding amino acid is attached (by aminoacyl-tRNA synthetases). tRNAs cope with the degeneracy of the genetic code in two manners: having more than one tRNA (with a specific anti-codon) for a particular amino acid; and 'wobble' base-pairing, i.e. permitting non-standard base-pairing at the 3rd anti-codon position. The record is from Rfam by way of RNAcentral. Lineage: Eukaryota; Metazoa; Chordata; Mammalia; Rodentia; Sciuridae.
GGGGUUGUGGCUCAGUGAUAGAGCGCUCACCUCGCAUGUGUGAGAUCUUAGGUUCUAUCCUCAGCACCA